UAUCAGCCGUCUGCUCGGAAGCGGAACACACUCGCCGGCUUUACCAGCGCAACAGCUUUUGUUUCUGCUCUUCGCAGUCAUUUAGCUGACAUGUUUGUAAACACCAACGUGUAUUUUGUAAAAAUUUAGCGUUUCACAAAUCAACGUUCACAAACACCAGGUCACUUGCGGAACCUCCCACGCUGCCACCAGCGCUCUCCGCAGGCCGGGCAAGGCGGGACCUGCCCGUCCCUCGCCGCGCCGCCGCCGCAAAGCCUCUCGGGAGUUGAAGUCCCGCACUCGGCCUUUUCCAUGGCGGCCCCGCGGCUUCUGGACUCCGAGUCCCAUGGAGCGCUGCGGGGGGCCCGGCGCCCGGCCCGCGGCCCCGGCAGCUGGCGGCAGGGCGGCUAGUUCAAGUUGCCAUAGCGGCGAGGUGAGGCGGGCGGAAGGUGCCUGGGGACGGGGCGGCCUCGCCUCGGAGCGCUGUGCGGUUGCUCAUGACAACAAAGAGGAAUGCUUAACCAUAAAUAGCUUCAAGGUACUGAUGGCAGAGUCAUCCAGUGAUUCAGACAAUUUACUUACGGGUCGGAUUGGAAGGCGGCCUUUGAGGGCAUCCCACAGCAGAGCUCAGAACUAUGGUGCUGAAGAAGUUACAGAGAAGAUCCAUACUUUAGCAAGCACUUUGCAGGAUACCAACAGAAAUCUAAGACACGUUGACCAUUUGCUAGGACAAUACAGAGAAUACAACAAGGAACAAACCAAAGCAAUAACAACUUUGAAAGAAACGCUGGAGCAAUCUAUAGGUCAAUUAAGGAGCCAGCGACUAACACGAAACUCUGGAAUGAGAAGUGCAUCUCUCUCAAGCUUAUAUCCCAGUGACCUGGAUGGAGAAGGAAUAUCAGUCAACUGCCGCUUCCUGCCCACUUCGCCUCUCAGGGAUUAUGGAGACUCCCAGGGCAAUAAACACCGAAGGUCCAGAUCUGCAAGUGUCCGGUUUGUCAGUGAGGCAGAUAACGUGGAGCAGCUGCAUUCUUUCCACCAGUCUCUUCGAGAUCUCAGCAGUGAACAAGUUCGCCUGGGAGAUGACAUCAGUCGUGAGCUUUCAAGAAGAAAUCGGACUGAUGCUGAAUUAAGAAAGACUCUAGAAGAAUUGUCUGAAAAGCUCACUGAGUCCCAAAGACAAGAAACGGUAUCAGAUAGGGUAGAGAGAAGACUUCAGGAGAUAGAAGAAGAAAUGCGUGCUGAAAGACAGCUUGUAGAAAGGCGCCAGGACCAGCUGGGACAUGUUUCUCUUCAGUUACAGGAGGUUUUAAGGAAGCAAGAUGUUAAAGCAGAUGAAACAGAAGAACUCAUGAGAAACAAACUUGUGCAAUAUGAAAGGGAAAAGCACCAGCUUGAGCAGGAAUUGGAGCAGUCCCGGAAAAAGUUGAGUGAAUCUGAAGGCAGUAGAGAAGCUCUUUUGCAUCAGAUUGAGGAUCUUCGUUCCCAGCUUUUGAGAGCAGAAGAAGACCGUGUAGAAUUGCAACAUCAAAUUUCAUAUGCUGCUGUGCGUCGCCAGAGCUAUCAGGAUGUACAAGAUGAUGACAGGAGAAUUAGAGCAGUAGUUGAACGAUAUGAGAGAGAGAAGCAAGAUCUAGAGAAACAUAUUUUGGAACUUAAAGCAAAGCUGAGUCACAGUGCUGUAAUGUCAGAGGUAGAAGAACUGAAGAGAUGUAUAGAGCGUAAGGACAAGGAGAAAGCACAGUUGGUAAUGCACAUACAGGUGUUAACAUCUGACCUGGAAAAUAGGGAGAAACAGCAGGAAAAAAUGCUGGACCAGCUAAAGGAGAUUCAGAAUUGCUACAAGGCUUGUGAGAGUGGACGUAGACAAACUGAACUCCAGUCUGCUGAGUUAGCUCAACAAGUUGAAGAGAGUACCAAGGAAGCAGAACGGUAUCUCACUGAAUUCAAGCACUCAGAGGCACUCAGGCUGGAGAUUGAGAAAAAAAGAGAAGAUUUGAAGGUGAGAGCCCAGGAAACCAUCCGCCAAUGGAAAUUGAAGUGUAAGAAACUGGAUCGUGAGGUAGAAAAGCAAAAUCAAACUAUCAGUGAAUUAAUGGACAAGAAUAGUCAGGCCCUUAAAGAAAAAGAUGAUCUCAAAAGUCAGCUUCUCUCAGCCAUAAACCAAAUAGAAAACCUGCGGAAAGAGCUGAAUGAUGUGCUUACGAAGAGAGCCCAGCAGGAAGAACUCCUCCACUGUAAAGAGGUAAAACUGAAUGAAAUGGAGUCACACCAGGUAUCUCUUGAAGAAGAGAUCAAAGAAGUUCAAGGUACUGUAAAAAAAUUGGAGAAUGAGUUGAAAAAGCAAAUCUUUCUACAAAAUCAAAUGGAAGCUGAGAAGGAACACUUGAAGACAGAACUUGCAACUAUUAACUUGUUUCAUAAAAAAGACCAAGAACGACUCCUAGAAAUGCAAGCAGAUGUAAAAAAUUUAAGCGCUGUACGUGUGGAACUAACAAACAGAAUUGCAGAAGAGGAGAAAGCCAAAAAGGAAUUACUUAAGAGCGUCUCAGACCUCCAGAAACAGCAGGAAUCUAGUAAUGAAGAGAUGAUUUCAGCUAACAGGCAGCUGAAGAUGGAAAGAGAAACUCACCAACAGGAGUUGGCAGAUCUUAGAUCAGAGUUACAAAAUGUGAAAAUGAAACAUGAACAAAAUGUUCAAGAACUCACGAAACUCCUUAAACAAGAAAAAGAUAAUGCAGAGGCUCAGAUUAGAAUGCUAAAGAUGGAACUUUUAGAAGAGAAAAACAUAACCAAGGCUCAGUGUCGACAACUGGAAAAAAUAAAAGUUGAGAGUGAUAAAUUGACAGAAGAAUUAAUCCAAAAUGAGGAAGAAAAUAUAAAACUAAAACGGAAAUGUGAGUUUGUAAAACAAGAACUGGAGAAAAAGGAAAAGCAGAUCAGCAAUGAAGAAGAUAAUUUGAGAAAGAUGAGUGAGGCCAGACUGCAGUUUAAAGAUCAGCUGCGUCAAUUAGAAAUGGAACAGCAAUCCAUCCUCUCCAUGAUAGGAAGUGAAAUUGAUGCUGCUUGUGAAAUUUUUUCUCGAGACUCCAUGGAGAAAUUCAAAGCAAUAUCCCUUACACCAACAGUACUGAACGAUCCUCAUCGCUGGUUAGCAGAAACAAAGACUAAGCUUCAGUGGCUGUGUGAGGAGGUAAAGGAAAGAGAAAGUAAGGAAAAAAAGCUACGAUGCUACUUGCUGCAGAGCCGAGAACAGCUCAAGCACUUAACACAGAUAAAGGAGACUGAACAUCAGUCUCUCUUUAAACAGAUAAAAAGCCAAGAAAAACUUCUGGAAGAAGUUCACAGAGAAAAAAGAGAGCUACUAGAAAAGACACACAGAAGAGAGGAAGAAAUGGGAGCUCUCCAGGAACGUAUUAUGGCCUUAGAAAUGAGUACCCGAGUAGCUUUAAACCACCUGGAGUCUGUGCCUGAGAAACUGAGCCUGUUAGAAGAUUGCAGAAAUACUGGAGAGUCCCAUUGCCGAAGGGAGAUGAUUGAGGAGAGGUAUAUGAGGUAUAAAGACAUAGUGACUUCUUUGCAGCAGCAGCUGGAAGAUUCAAAGCAAAGAGUGGGGCAAGUCAAGGAUGUGAAAAUGGAUGCUGAAAUUUCUGAUGUAGAAGUGGCUGCUCACUCUUCUAGUUGGCGAACUCAAAACAGCUUUUUGUGCAACUCACUGCUUUCAAGUUCAGGUUCACUUAUGAAAGGGAUGGUUCCUUUGGAUACAAGUGGCACCAAGGAAGAUUCUACUAAUGCUGCUGUUAGUGAAAUGAAGCUGCAAGCAGAAGGAGGAAAGCAGUAGAGUAUUUUACGAAACCACACCAGUUUUCUCUGUGAAUCUUCAGCAGUGGGCUCCCUAAUAGGCAGUAAUCUGCAACACCAGGUAUUCCUAAUAACCUGACAAAUUCAGCCGUAUCACUCUGCAGCUGCACAAUUCUCCAGGGAUAAGCUCAUGGACACACUAACUAGCUCGGAAACAAAAAGCUUCAUUCUUUGGUUUUGGCAGUGAAAGCAGUGAGAAGCAGCAAGGCAGG
This is an RNA transcript of Vidua chalybeata, 4052 nucleotides long. It is a transcript of the gene named centrosomal protein 128, with no coding region annotated. The transcript is spliced from 27 exons. Lineage: Eukaryota; Metazoa; Chordata; Aves; Passeriformes; Viduidae. The record is from RefSeq and is a predicted model, not a curated record.